CCUACGGGGGGCAGCAGUGGGGAAUAUUGGACAAUGGGCGAAAGCCUGAUCCAGCAAUGCCGCGUGAGGGAUGAAGGCCUUAGGGUUGUAAAGCUCUUUUACCAGGGAUGAUAAUGACAGUACCUGGAGAAUAAGCUCCGGCUAACUCCGUGCCAGCAGCCGCGGUAAUACGGCGGCAGCUAGCGUUGUUCGGAAUUACUGGGCGUAAAGCGCACGUAGGCGGUUUUUCAAGUCAGGGGUGAAAGCCCGGAGCUCAACGCCGAAAUUGCCCCUGAAACUGGAUGACUAGAAUCUUGGAGAGGUCAGUGGAAUUCCGAGUGUAGAGGUGAAAGUCGUAGAUAUUCGGAAGAACACCAGUGGCGAAGGCGACUGACUGGACAAGUAUUGACGCUGAGGUGCGAAAGCGUGGGGAGCAAACAGGAUUAGAUACCCUUGUAGUC
This 440-nucleotide ribosomal RNA is filed under the name uncultured bacterium. Its description in RNAcentral is "partial 16S ribosomal RNA". It matches the Rfam family "Bacterial small subunit ribosomal RNA", at positions 338 to 795 of the family's 1533-position model. The record is from RNAcentral.